Molecule: ribosomal RNA, 645 nt
Filed under: Triticum aestivum (bread wheat)
Lineage: Eukaryota; Viridiplantae; Streptophyta; Magnoliopsida; Poales; Poaceae
Description: partial small subunit ribosomal RNA
Source: RNAcentral
AUGGUGGUGGAGCGUAAGGAGACGGGUAAGGAGCAUCCGGUUCAGCGGCCGGUUUAUUAUGUCAGUGAGGUGCUUAUUGAGUCCAAGCAGCGAUACCCGCACUGGCAGAAGCUUGUAUAUGGUGUGUUCAUGGCGAGCCGGAAACUCAAGCAUUAUUUUCAGGGUCAUCCCAUCACUGUGGUCAGUUCUGCCCCUCUUGGGGAUAUUAUCCAGAACCGAGAGGCUACAGGGAGAAUUGCUAAGUGGGCUAUUGAGCUUGGGCCUCAUGGCCUCAAAUAUGUGCCACGCACUGCUGUUAAGUCUCAGGCUUUGGUGGAUUUUAUUAAUGAUUGGACAGAGUCGCAAGUGCCUGAGCAGAAGCCGGAUAACACCUAUUGGACUAUUCACUUUGAUGGGUCCAGGCAGCUGGAGGGCUCGGGGGCUGGUGUUGUAUUAGCUUCCCCUAGGGGUGACAAGUUCCAGUAUGUGCGACAAUUGAUGUUUCCUUGCACUAACAAUGCGGCUGAAUACGAGGCCUUACUCCACGGUCUUCGGGUGGCUAAGGAGAUGAGCUUAAGCCGGGUACGGUGCUUUGGGGACUCAGAUUUGGUGGUUCAACAAGUAUCAGGCACUUGGGAUUCUAAGGAUCCCCUCAUGGCGGCUUAU